AAAAACUCAAUUCCUGGGUUUCCGUAUCUAACGUUUCACCGUCCGUCUUAUUUGAAAAAUUAUAAAAAAAUUAAAAAGAUAAGUCAUGUAUAAACUAAUAUUCAUGUUUUAUCAUCUAACAAUAAUAAAAAUACUAAUCAUAAAAAAAAUUUAUAUAAUACGAACGGGUCAAACGUUGGACAUAGAAACCCAACAAUUGACUCUUU
This is a microRNA precursor of Oryza sativa Indica Group (long-grained rice), 206 nucleotides long. It matches the Rfam family "MIR812 microRNA precursor family". The record is from Rfam. Lineage: Eukaryota; Viridiplantae; Streptophyta; Magnoliopsida; Poales; Poaceae.